RNAcentral lists this ribosomal RNA (650 nucleotides) under Burkholderia sp. AD35. Its description in RNAcentral is "bacterial SSU rRNA". It matches the Rfam family "Bacterial small subunit ribosomal RNA", at positions 777 to 1439 of the family's 1533-position model. The record is from RNAcentral. Lineage: Bacteria; Pseudomonadati; Pseudomonadota; Betaproteobacteria; Burkholderiales; Burkholderiaceae.
AUUAGAUACCCUGGUAGUCCACGCCCUAAACGAUGUCAACUAGUUGUUGGGUCUUCAUUGACUCAGUAACGUAGCUAACGCGUGAAGUUGACCGCCUGGGGAGUCCGGUCGCAAGAUUAAAACUCAAAGGAAUUUACGGGGACCCGCACAACCCGUGGAUGAUGCGGAUUAAUUCGAUGCAACGCGAACCCCUUACCUACCCUGACAUGGUCGGAACCCUGUGAAAGGUGGGGGUCUCGAAAGAGAACCGUACACAGGUGUUGCAGGCAGUGUAGCUCGUGUCGUGAGAUGUUGGGUUAAGUCCCGCAACGAGCGCAACCCUUGCCUUAGUUGCUACGCAUGAGCACUCUAAGGAGACUGCCGGUGACAAACCGGAGGAAGGUGGGGAUGACGUCAUGUCCUCAUGGCCGUUAUGGGUAGGGCUUCACACGUCAUACAAUGGUCGGAACAGAGGGCUGCCAACCCGUGAGGGGGAGCUAAUCCCAGAAAACCGAUCGUAGUCCGGAUUGUAGUCUGCAUCUCGACUAUGUGAAGCUGGAAUCGCUAGUAAUCGCGGAUCAGCAUGCCGCGGUGAUAUACGUUCCCCGGUCUUGUACACACCGCCCGUCACACCCAUGGGAGUGGGUUUUACCAGAAGUGGCUAGUCUAAC